Musa acuminata subsp. malaccensis (wild Malaysian banana) is the source of this 1462-nucleotide non-coding RNA. The record is from RefSeq and is a predicted model, not a curated record. Lineage: Eukaryota; Viridiplantae; Streptophyta; Magnoliopsida; Zingiberales; Musaceae.
CAUGCCAAUUAGAUGUUAUAUAAUAAAAUAGGAAAAAAAAUUGUAAUAUUUCCUUUUUCGAAAUAUAUGUAAGAACAAUGCCAAACAUCAUUUGAAACUUUCUUGUAAUUCGAUUAGUCACAUGUUAACAAUUGAUAUCAAUACAUGCCACUCUGGUUAUCAUAUAAUGAAGGUAAAAUAUUCUUCCUUUGCUACCUAACCAGAUUUGAUAGGCUCACAUAUAUCGACCAUUAUGGUUAUAUACGGUGCUUUCAUGAAAAUAAUUAAACUAAAAUAGUAUUGAACUAUCUAUAAUCUAUCUUGUGACAGAUUCACAUAUGUUGACUAUUAUGUUUAUAUUUGAUGCUUCUAAUUUGUUUGGGUGAAUAAUGAAAUGAUAAUAAUAUUGAAAUGUGUAUCUCAGAGAUAAGUUGGCAACCAUUAGUUUUAGCUGUCAGAAAUUGGCUACUUCAUAUUUCCAUCUAAAGUUAAUCUCACCUGCAAUGUAUUGACCUCUUAGGUCAAUGGUGGAUGAGGACAAUUUAAAUUGGAUUUGCUAACAUGACUAAAUAACUCUAGCCUGAUAAGCAUGAUUAAAUUACUCUGGCCUGAUUGACUAAAUUUAAUUAUUCUUUAUUUGGUUCGAUGCAGCUAGCUAAUAGAGUUGUCUGAAUUAGCAAAGAGAAUGAGAAAAGAGAUUGUUAUUUUAGUUCACUAUAUUAAGUGGGUUAAUUUAGUCCUGAUUAUCUGGGUUCAGUUCCUUCUUGACAUUAUUAGUGUCCUUCGAUUUAACCCUCGUUAAACCUGAACUAAAUGCACAGCUAAGUAUGACUGUGAGGAUAGUAAAACUAUGUUUAUUUUCUAUUGGUGUCACAAAUGCUGGUUUCAGCUAUAUCAGCAACUGAACAUAAAUAAAACCAAGAAGAUUAAUUCAAGUCUUCUACAUUAUGCAGCAUAUUCUACGUAAUUUAACCAGUAACUAAAAUCUAUAUUAGACAUAUUAUGAACAUCUCCAGUUAUUAUCAUCUAGAGCAAUCCGAAUCAGCAUAUAUGAGAUUGUAAAUGCCAGAGAUCGAUAGACAGACAAACAGAUAAGAGAGAGAGAGAUAUUUUCAAUGGGCUUCUUGGAUAGUUAGCCAUCUCCACUAUUGUCUUCUCUAUAAAAUUUGUUCAUAUUCUGCUACACAGUACUUCAAAAGUUUCAGGACAUUUAAGAUCACAACAGUAAGCAAAUGCAAUGUCAGAGAUUUACCAACAGAAAUGUUGCUCAAAGAUGAACCUGCAUUUCUGAGGUAUAGACUAUAAGCUGCAGAACAAUGACUACUAACCCAAAUUGUUAAGGUUGCUUUCAUCUAUUGUUGCUAGCUGAUUGAAUUUGACUUCAUCGCCUACAAACUUCAGAGUUGGAGAUGGUCGACAACUACUUGCUUGUUUGGUGAUAUUUCUCUACAAGAUGAAAUCUUGGCUGGAGAUCUAAAGCCAA